AAGGAAUAUUGGUCAAUGGACGCAAGUCUGAACCAGCCAUGCCGCGUGGAGGAUUAAGGCCCUCUGGGUUGUAAACUCCUUUUAUCUGGGAAGAAAUGUACUUUUUCUUGAGUACUUGACGGUACCAGAGGAAUAAGCACCGGCUAACUCCGUGCCAGCAGCCGCGGUAAUACGGAGGGUGCAAGCGCUAUCCGGAUUCACUGGGUUUAAAGGGUGCGUAGGUGGGCAGGUAAGUCAGUGGUGAAAUCUCCGGGCUUAACCCGGGAACUGCCGUUGAUACUAUUUGUCUUGAAUGUUGUGGAGGUAAGCUGAAUAUGUCAUGUAGCGGUGAAAUGCUUAGAUAGUACAUAGAACACCAAUUGCGAAGGCAGCUUACUACACAAUCAUUGACGCUGAGGCACGAAAGCGUGGGGAUCAAACA
RNAcentral lists this ribosomal RNA (421 nucleotides) under uncultured bacterium. RNAcentral's name for it is "bacterial SSU rRNA". It matches the Rfam family "Bacterial small subunit ribosomal RNA", at positions 356 to 774 of the family's 1533-position model. The record is from RNAcentral.